Molecule: ribosomal RNA, 800 nt
Filed under: uncultured bacterium
Lineage: Bacteria
Description: bacterial SSU rRNA
Rfam family: Bacterial small subunit ribosomal RNA
Source: RNAcentral
GGCGCACGGGUGCGUAACGCGUAUGCAACCUACCUCUAACUGGGGGAUAGCCCUGGGAAACUGGGAUUAAUACCGCAUAGGAUAGUAGAGCUUCAUGGCUUAGCUAUUAAAGAUUUAUCGGUUAGAGAUGGGCAUGCGUGACAUUAGUUAGUUGGUGAGGUAACGGCUCACCAAGACUUCGAUGUCUAGGGGUUCUGAGAGGAUGAUCCCCCACGCUGGUACUGAGAUACGGACCAGACUCCUACGGGAGGCAGCAGUAGGGAAUAUUGGUCAAUGGACGCAAGUCUGAACCAGCCAUGCCGCGUGCAGGACGACGGCCCUCUGGGUUGUAAACUGCUUUUGUAUAGGAAGAAACGCUCCGACGUGUCGAGUUUAACGGUACUAUAAGAAUAAGGAUCGGCUAACUACGUGCCAGCAGCCGCGGUAAUACGUAGGAUCCAAGCGUUGUCCGGAUUUAUUGGGUUUAAAGGGUGCGCAGGCGGCCUAACAAGUCAGUGGUGAAAGCCUAUCGCUUAACGAUAGAAUUGCCAUUGAUACUGUUAGGCUUGAGUAUAGUUGAGGUUGGCGGAAUGUAUCAUGUAGCGGUGAAAUGCUUAGAUAUGAUACAGAACACCGAUUGCGAAGGCAGCUGACUAAGCUAUUACUGACGCUCAUGCACGAAAGCGUGGGGAUCAAACAGGAUUAGAUACCCUGGUAGUCCACGCCGUAAACGUUGAUAACUCGAUGUUGGCGAUAUACUGUCAGCGUCUUAGCGAAAGCGUUAAGUUAUCCACCUGGGGAGUACGCCGGCAACGGUGAAA